UUUUCAGUUCUAUUUGGGGCCAGCUUCAAGGAGAUAAAAUCUAGGGUUUCAAUCAGAGCCAUUACCUCCGCUUGCUCAGCCGAUCUAACCUCCACAGAUUUAGUAAAACCAUCAAUAAUUCUUCCCAAAUCAUCCCUGCAGAUACAAGCUACAGCUGCUGUGAAGGGGGAAAGUCGGUUUUGAGAUCCGGCGUGCAAGGCACAGAGGCGAUUUCGGUUUCUUCCCACUCUACGGCAUCCACACCUAUUUCAAGAAUGCUGGAUAAAUCCAGCGAAUAUUUGUUCUUUUCUUUGUAUUUCGAAUAAGCAUUUGUCUCGGCAUCCCUGUUGGGUCGCAACGCAGCUUUGUUUGGAGAGAGAUGUCGUUGCAAGGUGGAGCUGGUCUUCUUCAAUUUCCGUCCAUGAAACAUCAAGUGUUGGGGAGAAGGAGGUAUAGGAGUUGGCAAACGAGUCUUGAAACUCUUCGCUUGUUGAUUUUGGUUCCGGGGUUGAUGCUGAAAGAUCUUCAAUUCUGUGCAAUGAGACCUCUUGAUUUGAGUUGAACAGUGAUCUGUCUAUGCAAUUAGGCCCAAAGGAUGCAUCUAUGUUGAUUUUGAGAACACCGGGCUUUAGGGGUUGCCAUUUGUUGUGUAAGUCGGCUUCUUUCUUCUGAUUUUUUGAUUUGGGAUUCCA
Eucalyptus grandis is the source of this 671-nucleotide long non-coding RNA. RefSeq lists it as uncharacterized. Lineage: Eukaryota; Viridiplantae; Streptophyta; Magnoliopsida; Myrtales; Myrtaceae. The record is from RefSeq and is a predicted model, not a curated record. The transcript is spliced from 3 exons.